Molecule: unclassified non-coding RNA, 338 nt
Filed under: soil metagenome
Description: partial contains 5.8S ribosomal RNA, internal transcribed spacer 2, and large subunit ribosomal RNA
Rfam family: 5.8S ribosomal RNA (bases 1-120)
Source: RNAcentral
GAUGAAGAACGCAUCGAAAUGCGAUAAGUAAUGUGAAUUGCAGAAUUCAGUGAAUCAUCGAAUCUUUGAACGCACAUUGCGCCCGGCAGUACUCUGCCGGGCAUGCCUGUUCGAGCGUCAUUUCAACCCUCAAGCCCUGCUUGGUGUUGGGGUCCCACGGCCGCCGUGGGCCCUGAAAGGAAGUGGCGGGCUCGCUACAACUCCGAGCGUAGUAAUUCAUUAUCUCGCUUAGGGCGUUGGGCGGCGCUCCUGCCGUUAAAGAACCAUCUUUAACUCAAGGUUGACCUCGGAUCAGGUAGGAAUACCCGCUGAACUUAAGCAUAUCAAUAAGCGGAGGA